Molecule: ribosomal RNA, 422 nt
Filed under: uncultured bacterium
Lineage: Bacteria
Description: bacterial SSU rRNA
Rfam family: Bacterial small subunit ribosomal RNA
Source: RNAcentral
UACGGAAGGCAGCAGGGGGGAAUAUUGCACAAUGGGCGCAAAGCCUGAUGCAGCCAUGCCGCGUGUAUGAAGAAGGCCUUCGGGUUGUAAAGUACUUUCAGUCGUGAGGAAGGUGUUAAGAUUAAUAACCUUAGCAAUUGACGUUAGCGACAGAAGAAGCACCGGCUAACUCCGUGCCAGCAGCCGCGGUAAUACGGAGGGUGCGAGCGUUAAUCGGAAUUACUGGGCGUAAAGGGCACGCAGGCGGUUAAUUAAGUUGGAUGUGAAAUCCCCGGGCUUAACCUGGGAAUGGCAUUCAAGACUGGUUAGCUAGAGUCUUGUAGAGGGGGUAGAAUUCCAUGUGUAGCGGUGAAAUGCGUAGAGAUGUGGAGGAAUACCGGUGGCGAAGGCGGCCCCUGGACAAAGACUGACGCUCAUGUGCG